AGUGAACGCUGGCGGCGUGCUUAACACAUGCAAGUCGAACGAGAACGGAUUAUAGCUUGCUAUAAUUGUCAGCUAAGUGGCGCACGGGUGAGUAAUGUAUAGGUAAUAUGCCUCUUACUAAGGGAUAACAAAUGGAAACGUUUGCUAAUACCUUAUACUCCUUAUUAACAUAAGUUAAUAAGAGAAAGAUUUAUUGGUAAGAGAUUAGCCUGUAUUGUAUCAGAUAGUUGGUGGGGUAAUGGCUUACCAAGACUAUGACACAUAACUGGUUUGAGAGGAUGAUCAGUCACACUGGAACUGAGACACGGUCCAGACUCCUACGGGAGGCAGCAGUGGGGAAUAUUGCACAAUGGACGAAAGUCUGAUGCAGCAACGCCGCGUGGAGGAUGACACAUUUCGGUGCGUAAACUCCUUUUAUAUGAGAAGAUAAUGACGGUAUUAUAUGAAUAAGCACCGGCUAACUCCGUGCCAGCCGCCGCCGUAA
RNAcentral lists this ribosomal RNA (484 nucleotides) under uncultured bacterium. RNAcentral's name for it is "partial 16S ribosomal RNA". It matches the Rfam family "Bacterial small subunit ribosomal RNA", at positions 29 to 523 of the family's 1533-position model. The record is from RNAcentral.